AAGGAUGAGUCUGCGGCCGAUUAGGUUGUUGGUGGGGUAAUGGCCCAACAAGCCUAUGAUCGGUACGGGCUGUGAGAGCAGUAGCCCGGAGAUGAUAUCUGAGACACGAUACCAGGCCCUACGGGGCGCAGCAGGCGCGAAAACUUCGCACUGUGCGAAAGCACGACGAGGGAAUCCCAAGUGCUGGCUCGUAGUAUCAGCUGUUUCUCUGUCUAAAAAACAGAGAGAGUAAGGGCUGGGUAAGACGGGUGCCAGCCGCCGCGGUAAUACCUGCAGCUCAAGUGGUGGCCACUAUUAUUGGGCCUAAAACGUCCGUAGCCGGUUCUAUAAAUCCCUGGGUAAAUCGUACGGCUUAACCGUACGAAUUCCGGGGAGACUGCUCAACUUGGGACCGGGAGAGGCUAGAGGUACUCCUGGGGUAGAGGUGAAAUUCUGUAAUCCUAGGGGGACCACCAGUGGCGAAGGCGUCUAGCUAGAACGGGUCUGACGGUGAGGGACGAAGCCCUGGGGCGCAAACGGGAUUAGAUACCCCGGUAGUCCAGGGUGUAAACGCUGCUCGCUUGAUGUUGGUCGGGCUCCGAGCCCAACUAGUGUCGGAGAGAAGUUGUUAAGCGCGCUGCCUGGGGAGUACGGUCGCAAGGCUGAAACUUAA
This 652-nucleotide ribosomal RNA is filed under the name uncultured euryarchaeote. RNAcentral's name for it is "SSU rRNA". It matches the Rfam family "Archaeal small subunit ribosomal RNA", at positions 205 to 859 of the family's 1478-position model. The record is from RNAcentral. Lineage: Archaea; Methanobacteriati; Methanobacteriota.